GCAGUCGAGGGGCAGCAUGGUCUUAGCUUGCUAAGGCUGAUGGCGACCGGCGCACGGGUGAGUAACACGUAUCCAACCUGCCGUCUACUCUUGGCCAGCCUUCUGAAAGGAAGAUUAAUCCAGGAUGGGAUCAUGAGUUCACAUGUCCGCAUGAUUAAAGGUAUUUUCCGGUAGACGAUGGGGAUGCGUUCCAUUAGAUAGUAGGCGGGGUAACGGCCCACCUAGUCAACGAUGGAUAGGGGUUCUGAGAGGAAGGUCCCCCACAUUGGAACUGAGACACGGUCCAAACUCCUACGGGAGGCAGCAGUGAGGAAUAUUGGUCAAUGGGCGAUGGCCUGAACCAGCCAAGUAGCGUGAAGGAUGACUGCCCUAUGGGUUGUAAACUUCUUUUAUAAAGGAAUAAAGUCGGGUAUGCAUACCCGUUUGCAUGUACUUUAUGAAUAAGGAUCGGCUAACUCCGUGCCAGCAGCCGCGGUAAUACGGAGGAUCCGAGCGUUAUCCGGAUUUAUUGGGUUUAAAGGGAGCGUAGAUGGAUGUUUAAG
Molecule: ribosomal RNA, 542 nt
Filed under: uncultured bacterium
Lineage: Bacteria
Description: bacterial SSU rRNA
Rfam family: Bacterial small subunit ribosomal RNA
Source: RNAcentral